This 869-nucleotide ribosomal RNA is filed under the name uncultured Streptococcus sp. RNAcentral describes it as "bacterial SSU rRNA". It matches the Rfam family "Bacterial small subunit ribosomal RNA", at positions 33 to 885 of the family's 1533-position model. Lineage: Bacteria; Bacillati; Bacillota; Bacilli; Lactobacillales; Streptococcaceae. The record is from RNAcentral.
ACGCUGGCGGCGUGCCUAAUACAUGCAAGUAGAACGCUGAAGGAGGAGCUUGCUCUUCUGGAAGAGUUGCGAACGGGUGAGUAACGCGUAGGUAACCUGCCUGGUAGCGGGGGAUAACUAUUGGAAACGAUAGCUAAUACCGCAUAAGAUUGAAUAUCGCAUGAUAAUUGAUUAAAAGAUGCAAAUGCAUCACUACCAGAUGGACCUGCGUUGUAUUAGCUAGUAGGUGAGGUAACGGCUCACCUAGGCGACGAUACAUAGCCGACCUGAGAGGGUGAUCGGCCACACUGGGACUGAGACACGGCCCAGACUCCUACGGGAGGCAGCAGUAGGGAAUCUUCGGCAAUGGGGGCAACCCUGACCGAGCAACGCCGCGUGAGUGAAGAAGGUUUUCGGAUCGUAAAGCUCUGUUGUAAGAGAAGAACGAGUGUGAGAGUGGAAAGUUCACACUGUGACGGUAUCUUACCAGAAAGGGACGGCUAACUACGUGCCAGCAGCCGCGGUAAUACGUAGGUCCCGAGCGUUGUCCGGAUUUAUUGGGCGUAAAGCGAGCGCAGGCGGUUAGAUAAGUCUGAAGUUAAAGGCUGUGGCUUAACCAUAGUACGCUUUGGAAACUGUUUAACUUGAGUGCAGAAGGGGAGAGUGGAAUUCCAUGUGUAGCGGUGAAAUGCGUAGAUAUAUGGAGGAACACCGGUGGCGAAAGCGGCUCUCUGGUCUGUAACUGACGCUGAGGCUCGAGAGCGUGGGGAGCGAACAGGAUUAGAUACCCUGGUAGUCCACGCCGUAAACGAUGAGUGCUAGGUGUUAGGCCCUUUCNCGGGGCUUAGUGCCGUAGCUAACGCAUUAAGCACUCCGCCUGGGGAGUACGA